UUGCGCAAGUGAUGUUUAUUUGAGCAAUCUUCGCAAUCAUCUGUCGCAGCUCCGGGCCUAUUCUUAUCACCAGAAUCACUGCUCGGUAACACAGUCCACGCGGCCCGCCCAAUCCGGCCUGCCGCGGCCGCCACCCCCACCGGGGUUGUGCCGGCCCCCGAGCUGCACACUGUCCAGAAGACGGCGUGAGGUGAGCCGACGUCAAAAGCGUCGAGCCAGGACGAAGUUCUCUAGAAGGGAGGCCGACGGGUCUCCCU
RNAcentral lists this small RNA (257 nucleotides) under Pseudomonas sp. GM25. Its description in RNAcentral is "sRNA P24". It matches the Rfam family "Pseudomonas sRNA P24". Rfam says of the family: P24 is conserved across several Pseudomonas species and in Azotobacter vinelandii. Lineage: Bacteria; Pseudomonadati; Pseudomonadota; Gammaproteobacteria; Pseudomonadales; Pseudomonadaceae. The record is from RNAcentral.